Salvia splendens (bonfire salvia) is the source of this 1766-nucleotide long non-coding RNA. RefSeq lists it as uncharacterized. The record is from RefSeq and is a predicted model, not a curated record. The transcript is spliced from 5 exons. Lineage: Eukaryota; Viridiplantae; Streptophyta; Magnoliopsida; Lamiales; Lamiaceae.
UAUUUAUGUCAAAAUAUCAUUUACCGCCUCUCUCUUUAAAAAAACCCUAAAUCGUCUUUCUCUAAUUCUUCAUCCCAAUCUGUUGGCGUUUAGGCAUUUGGAGAAGAUCGUCGGAGAAGAAGCGGAAGACGCGGAGGCUGCAAAGCACAAUCGUCGCAGCAUUCGGUUUGCCUUGUUUGAAGGUUGAAAGCGAGGGAGAUAUUUGUGCUCUUCCACUUUGUCCAUUCGCAAAGCCUGAAAACCUGCUCCUUGAUUCCCAAGGAAAGUUGAAGGUUUCUGAUUUUGGACUGGGUGCAUUACCUCAAAAGGGAGUUGAUCUUCUUCAUACAACCUGGGGACUCCAAAUUACGUUGCACCCGAGAACAGCUCGAUUGGCUUCAAGCCUUUGUGACUGAGGCAAAUAUACAACAAAUGUGUAGUUAUUGUGGACCAGUGUUGUCAAAAUGGCGCUCGGGUCGCCCGGGUCGAGACCGUCACCGCCCCAACAUGGGUGGGUUGAUCGAGGUACGGGGUCGCCUGGGUCGAGAUACAGGUAAUUCCUAAACCUUUAUUCUCUGAAUCUUUUCCUUUUUAAUGCUGAUUUGUUUUUACUAAAAUAAACAUAAGUAUAAAAGUAAAACUUACCUAAAAGUCUGCUGAUUUUCUCAAAUCUUUCACACUUUUGUUCUGAUUUUCUCUAAUCUUAGCACACGUUUUUUCUCCUCUGUUCCUCAGAUCUCUCACACUUUUAUUCUGAUUUUCCAAAAUCUCAGCACACGUUUUUUCUACGUUCUCCUUUGUUUCUCUCAAUUAUCUAUAUAUAUGCAUGAACCACAUCAAGCUUUUCAAACCCUAAAUUCAUACUCUUCAUUCCUAAACAAAUAUACAGAGCCACCCUUCAUCUAUUCCUUCCUUUGUUUAAUCAAGGUAUUGUUCUAACUUUCAUCUUCUUUUUGAAUUUUGUGUGCAGAUUUUAAUUCUAAUUCGGCCUCUACAAGCAGCUUGUACCACUUUAUCUACCUAUAGGCUAUAUGUAUUGAAACUUUAUUUGAUAUAUUGUAAACAUUAGAGUAAUAUAUUUAUUUGAUUUAAUAUUAAAAGGCAAAAAAAUUAGGCUAGAAUAGUGGGUCUCUCGACCUAGUCGACUCGCCUACUCGUGACCCGAAUUUUCACAUCAUCGAUCCGGUGCGACCCUCGACCCUAACUACACUGUUGUGGACUUAGUUGAUAUGGAAAUAGUGUAUCACCUUGCCUUCUAUUUCUUGAAUAUGAUUGUGCAGCAUCUUCUAACUUUAUCUAGAUGAAAAUAUUAUGAAGUUGCUUUAAAAAGACUUGACAAUAAGCUGUAGGUAAUGUAUAUUGGUGACAAAGUUCAUACCAAAACUAUACAAUAGGUAGGGAUUUUUAAUCUGGUGAACUGCCACCCUGAUGUCUCAUAUCAAUUUGCAUCUCUAUGUUGCUACUCUCUAUGCUCCUAUGGAAGUAAACAAUGUAAGUUUAAGAGUAAAUUAGGUAUAUGUCUUAGAAGCAUGGGUUUAUAGAUCUUGAAAAUUUAUUAAGAUGGCCAUAUAACAUGGGUUUAGUCUAUAAUUCUGAAUUCAGAUUUCCGUUUGCCUUGCUUGAAGAUUGAAAGCAACAUAUGCGAGAGGAAGCAGCCAAGAGGGAGCAACAAAUGGAAGAUCGAAUGAUGUGCCUUUUUAAUGAAAAAAUGUGUAGUUUAGUGUAAUUUUGUAAGACAAUGUUAUCUUUAUAUAUUUUUGUUAUACAAUCUUAUCUUUUUAAUGUUA